AGAGUUUGAUCAUGGCUCAGAUUGAACGCUGGCGGCAGGCCUAACACAUGCAAGUCGAGCGGUAGCACAGAGAGCUUGCUCUCGGGUGACGAGCGGCGGACGGGUGAGUAAUGUCUGGGAAACUGCCUGAUGGAGGGGGAUAACUACUGGAAACGGUAGCUAAUACCGCAUAACGUCGCAAGACCAAAGUGGGGGACCUUCGGGCCUCAUGCCAUCAGAUGUGCCCAGAUGGGAUUAGCUAGUAGGUGGGGUAACGGCUCACCUAGGCGACGAUCCCUAGCUGGUCUGAGAGGAUGACCAGCCACACUGGAACUGAGACACGGUCCAGACUCCUACGGGAGGCAGCAGUGGGGAAUAUUGCACAAUGGGCGCAAGCCUGAUGCAGCCAUGCCGCGUGUGUGAAGAAGGCCUUCGGGUUGUAAAGCACUUUCAGCGGGGAGGAAGGCGNCGAUUGACGUUACCCGCAGAAGAAGCACCGGCUAACUCCGUGCCAGCAGCCGCGGUAAUACGGAGGGUGCAAGCGUUAAUCGGAAUUACUGGGCGUAAAGCGCACGCAGGCGGUCUGUCAAGUCGGAUGUGAAAUCCCCGGGCUCAACCUGGGAACUGCAUUCGAAACUGGCAGGCUAGAGUCUUGUAGAGGGGGGUAGAAUUCCAGGUGUAGCGGUGAAAUGCGUAGAGAUCUGGAGGAAUACCGGUGGCGAAGGCGGCCCCCUGGACAAAGACUGACGCUCAGGUGCGAAAGCGUGGGGAGCAAACAGGAUUAGAUACCCUGGUAGUCCACGCCGUAAACGAUGUCGAUUUGGAGGUUGUGCCCUUGAGGCGUGGCUUCCGGAGCUAACGCGUUAAAUCGACCGCCUGGGGAGUACGGCCGCAAGGUUAAAACUCAAAUGAAUUGACGGGGGCCCGCACAAGCGGUGGAGCAUGUGGUUUAAUUCGAUGCAACGCGAAGAACCUUACCUGGUCUUGACAUCCACAGAACUUUCCAGAGAUGGAUUGGUGCCUUCGGGAACUGUGAGACAGGUGCUGCAUGGCUGUCGUCAGCUCGUGUUGUGAAAUGUUGGGUUAAGUCCCGCAACGAGCGCAACCCUUAUCCUUUGUUGCCAGCGGUNNGGCCGGGAACUCAAAGGAGACUGCCAGUGAUAAACUGGAGGAAGGUGGGGAUGACGUCAAGUCAUCAUGGCCCUUACGACCAGGGCUACACACGUGCUACAAUGGCAUAUACAAAGAGAAGCGACCUCGCGAGAGCAAGCGGACCUCAUAAAGUAUGUCGUAGUCCGGAUUGGAGUCUGCAACUCGACUCCAUGAAGUCGGAAUCGCUAGUAAUCGUAGAUCAGAAUGCUACGGUGAAUACGUUCCCGGGCCUUGUACACACCGCCCGUCACACCAUGGGAGUGGGUUGCAAAAGAAGUAGGUAGCUUAACCUUCGGGAGGGCGCUUACCACUUUGUGAUUCAUGACUGGGGUGAAGUCGUAACAAGGUAACCGUAGGGGAACCUGCGGUUGGAUCACCU
Molecule: ribosomal RNA, 1510 nt
Filed under: Klebsiella pneumoniae
Lineage: Bacteria; Pseudomonadati; Pseudomonadota; Gammaproteobacteria; Enterobacterales; Enterobacteriaceae
Description: bacterial SSU rRNA
Rfam family: Bacterial small subunit ribosomal RNA
Source: RNAcentral